ACACCUCAACUCUCAUGGUUUGCCAUGAUGAGCUUGGACCCUGGGGGUUUGCUGGCCUGUAGUCAGCUCCUCUCAAAUGAAUCAGCCUCCAAGUGUUUGGUGGCAUCACGGGUGUGAUAACUAUCUACCCUUGAGACUGCCUACCAGGUAACCUUCAGUGAUGGAGGUUCGCUGGGGCUCAUAGACGUCUCUCCUCAGCGAGGACAGCUUUUUAAC
This 216-nucleotide unclassified non-coding RNA is filed under the name uncultured Thelephora. Its description in RNAcentral is "sequence contains ITS2". The record is from RNAcentral. Lineage: Eukaryota; Fungi; Basidiomycota; Agaricomycetes; Thelephorales; Thelephoraceae.